RNAcentral lists this ribosomal RNA (1282 nucleotides) under Coleoptera sp. 29 KM-2017. RNAcentral's name for it is "16S ribosomal RNA". The stretch from base 1029 to 1188 matches the Rfam family "Archaeal large subunit ribosomal RNA", at positions 2544 to 2703 of the family's 2987-position model. Lineage: Eukaryota; Metazoa; Arthropoda; Insecta; Coleoptera. The record is from RNAcentral.
UUUGACUUUGAAGGUGGUAAAUUUAUAAAGAAAAAAAUUUAGUUUUUAGUGGUAAAAAAUUUUUUUUAUUAUAGAGAAUUAGUAUUGAAAAAGAAAUUUUUAUUUUAAUUAAAAGAAAAAUUUUAUUUUUGUACCUUGUGUAUCAGGGUCUAUUAAAAAAAACUUAAAUUUUUUAAAUUUCUYGAAUUUAAAAGAGCUAUAUUUUUAUAUUUUUUAAUGUAGAAUAAUUAUUGUAAAUAAAAUUAUGGAAGUGAAACGCUAGUCGAUUUUAAAUAUAUCUAGUUUUUUAAGAAAAAAAUUUAAUUUUAUUUUUAAAAUAAUAUAAAAAUUUUUAUUUAAUUUUAUAUUUUUAAAAUUUAAUAUAGGUAGGGUUGAGCUUACUUAUAAAAUAGUACAAAUAUUAGAUUUAUUAAAAAAAAAUAGGAUUGGAAAUUUUUAUUUUUAUUAGUUUGUUAAAAUUAAUUUAUAAUAGAAAAGAUUUCUAUUUGUUUUACUUUUUUUAUUAAAAUAAAUUUUUUAAUUUAUUAAAAAUUGAAAUUAUGGUAGAAUUAGUAUAAUUUUAUGUUUAUUUGUAUUAGUUAGGUGAGGUAAAAUUAAGGAACUCGGCAAAUUAAAAUUUUUUACCUGUUUAUUAAAAACAUGUCUUUUUGAUAAUAAUUUAAAGUCUCGCCUGCCCUAUGAUUUUUAUUAAAUGGCCGCGGUAUCUUGACCGUGCAAAGGUAGCAUAAUCAUUAGUUUUUUAAUUGAAAGCUUGUAUGAAAGGUUGGAUAAGAAAAUUACUGUCUCAGUUUUAUUUAAUUAGAAUUUUAUUUUUAAGUUAAAAAGCUUAAAUUUUUAUAAAAGACGAGAAGACCCUAUAGAGUUUUAUAAAAAUGUAUAUUUAGUUAAAUAAAGAAUUAUUUUAACAAAUAAAUAUUUUUAUUUGGUUGGGGUGAUAGAAAAAUUUAAUAAACUUUUUUUGUUUAUGUACAUUGAUAUAUGGGCAAUUGAUCCUAAGAGUUUAGAUUAAAAGAAUAAAUUACCUUAGGGAUAACAGCGUAAUUUUUUUUUAGAGUUCAAAUCGAAAAAAAAGAUUGCGACCUCGAUGUUGGAUUAAAAGAAAGUUCUGGUGUAGCAGCUAGAAGAAUUAGGUCUGUUCGACCUUUAAAAUUUUACAUGAUCUGAGUUUAAACCGGUGUAAGCCAGGUUGGUUUCUAUCUUUAUAAAGUAUUUAUAUUUUAGUACGAAAGGACCAUAUAUAAGUUUAAAAAAUUUACUAUAGAAUGCCAUUAAUUUUAUUGUU